UAUCCUGAUGCAUUUGCGGGAUGGAAUUUAUUGUGUAGUUAUGGUUCGUAUUUAUCAAUUUUAGCAAGUCUUUUCUUUUUCUACGUGGUGUAUGCCACAGUAACACAAGGUGAAAAAUGUGUUAUGAAUCCAUGGGCAGUCAAUGGUGAAUUGACAACUUCCACAUUGGAGUGGACGGUGGCGUCGCCUCCAGCUUUUCAUACUUUUGAGGAAAUUCCUGCGAUUAAGGAGUCUUCUUCUCAGACCGUGUUAAAGUAAUUGGUUGUCGGGUUUCAAGUUCGAGGGUCUACUUUGAUGGACCCUCUUCUUGACGUGGAGUAUAGUCUAUAUAUUUUUUUGUCUAAAUUUCAGAGAGUGCGCUAACGCAUGAAAUCAGCCGCCUGGGGACUACGGCCGCAAGGCUAAAACCCAAAGGAAUUGACGGGGGCUUACACAAGCGGUGGAGCAUGUGGUUUAAUUCGAAACAACGCGCAAAACCUUACCAAUCCUUGACAUAUGAAAAACCAGAGUGUUUACUUGCUCUGUUUCUUUUAUACAGGUGCUGCAUGGCUGUCGUCAGUUCGUGGUGUGAGCUGUUGGGUUAAGUCCCAGAACGAACGCAACCCUCCUUUGAAAUGAAGGGUCUCCUUUUUCAAAGACUGCCAAGGAUAUCUUGGAGGAAGGUGAGGACGACGUCAAGUCCGCAUGGCCCUUAUGGGUUGGGCUACACACGUGCUACAAUGGGAAUGACAAAAGGAGGCAACAUGGCAACAUUGAGCAAACCCAAAAAAGUUCCCUGAGUUCGGAUUGUUCUCUGCAACUCGAGAACAUGAAGUUGGAAUCGCAAGUAAUCGUAGAUCAGCACGCUACGGUGAAUUUGUAUCUAAGCCUUGUACACACCGCCCGUCACA
Molecule: ribosomal RNA, 890 nt
Filed under: Bathycoccus sp. TOSAG39-1
Lineage: Eukaryota; Viridiplantae; Chlorophyta; Mamiellophyceae; Mamiellales; Bathycoccaceae
Description: bacterial SSU rRNA
Rfam family: Bacterial small subunit ribosomal RNA (bases 382-890)
Source: RNAcentral